UCCAGACUCCUACGGGAGGCAGCAGUGGGGAAUAUUGCACAAUGGGGGAAACCCUGAUGCAGCGACGCCGCGUGAGUGAAGAAGUAUUUCGGUAUGUAAAGCUCUAUCAGCAGGAAAGAAAAUGACGGUACCUGACUAAGAAGCCCCGGCUAACUACGUGCCAGCAGCCGCGGUAAUACGUAGGGGGCAAGCGUUAUCCGGAUUUACUGGGUGUAAAGGGAGCGUAGACGGUGAAGCAAGUCUGAAGUGAAAGGCGGGGGCUCAACCCCCGGACUGCUUUGGAAACUGUUUGACUGGAGUGCAGGAGAGGUAAGUGGAAUUCCUAGUGUAGCGGUGAAAUGCGUAGAUAUUAGGAGAAACACCAGUGGCGAAGGCGGCUUACUGGACGGCAACUGACGCUGAGGCUCGAAAGCGUGGGGAGCAAACAGGAUUAGAUACCCGGGUA
RNAcentral lists this ribosomal RNA (445 nucleotides) under uncultured bacterium. RNAcentral's name for it is "partial 16S ribosomal RNA". It matches the Rfam family "Bacterial small subunit ribosomal RNA", at positions 330 to 792 of the family's 1533-position model. The record is from RNAcentral.